Molecule: non-coding RNA, 628 nt
Organism: Schizosaccharomyces pombe (fission yeast)
Lineage: Eukaryota; Fungi; Ascomycota; Schizosaccharomycetes; Schizosaccharomycetales; Schizosaccharomycetaceae
Source: the annotation of a GenBank genome assembly
AAGCAUUUCGUUUGCAAGUUCCCUCAGACUCAGCUGCAAGGAAGUCCUCGGCUAAACUGGCAGCGUCAGGAAUGAGAUGAUUAGAGACUUGAUAUAUGCUAAAGACGGCAAGAAUAGCAUUUUUACGGACAUAGGCAUGACGAUGUUCUAAGCAUUGGCGGACGGUUGGGAUUAAGGGAUCCAAAAGCUCUGGCUCUUUCAAUUUACAAAGAAAUCGUAAAGUAGCUCCCCGAAUGAACUCAUUAGGAUGUUGCAAGUCAUUGCGAAAUGAGUUACAAGCUAAGAUCAUUUCUUGUUUCAUAGUGCCAUCGUUGUUAUACUUAGGACAAACUUCCCAGUAAUAGUACAAAAGCUUUUUCAGUUCUUUAUUUCUGGAAGGCAUUACAAAUCGAAUCACGUGCAUUAAAAUGGAAGGAAGAGAAUCCCCGUUAAUUACGACCCGCAGGAUUGUCUUCAUGGCAGAUAUCUUGACAUAAUCAUUUUUGGACUCUAACGAGGUUUUUAGAGCAUCAACAGAUGGAGCUUCUAAAAAAUCCUGUUGAACAAGUGUCCAACAAGACAUAUUUGCUGCUUAAGGUAUGGUGACGGCAAAACCAACCUGAUGUUUGUUGAAAGCAGGUGUUGUAUA